Molecule: ribosomal RNA, 254 nt
Filed under: uncultured bacterium
Lineage: Bacteria
Description: partial 16S ribosomal RNA
Rfam family: Bacterial small subunit ribosomal RNA
Source: RNAcentral
GACGAACCGUGCGAACGUUAUUCGGAAUCACUGGGCUUAAAGCGCGUGUAGGCGGGCCGGCACGUCCGAUGCUGAAAUCCCCCGGCUCAACCGGGGAAGGGGCGCGGAUACGACCGGCCUGGAGGGACGUAGGGGGACCUGGAACUUCCGGUGGAGCGGUGAAAUGCGUUGAGAUCGGAAGGAACGCCCGUGGCGAAAGCGGCGUGCUGGGUCCCUUCUGACGCUGAGGCGCGAAAGCCAGGGGAGCAAACGGG